AUAACAGUCAAGUUGGUUGUAACAUCCACCUGUGCUAAUACCCCUCUUUCCAGGCUUUAUCACCCACAGAAUGUGGCUUCCCGUUUAACAGUAGUGCCUUCCAGACAGCAGCUCGUUGGGCCCAACACAGAGGUUCAACUAAAUAAACACCAAAACCCUGCUGAGGUGGUGACUAUGGAAAGAGGAGUAAAGGUGGA
Molecule: long non-coding RNA, 197 nt
Organism: Coregonus clupeaformis (lake whitefish)
Lineage: Eukaryota; Metazoa; Chordata; Actinopteri; Salmoniformes; Salmonidae
Exons: 3
Source: RefSeq, a predicted model, not a curated record